Molecule: small nucleolar RNA, 135 nt
Organism: Tupaia belangeri (northern tree shrew)
Lineage: Eukaryota; Metazoa; Chordata; Mammalia; Scandentia; Tupaiidae
Source: Ensembl
GUUGGCUGAAAAUUAUCCCCGGCUCUGACUAUGGCCACAGAUGAGGUUUUGUGCUCAGAGGGACCAAACUAGGGGUCUCAGCUCAAUGCUCUACUGUCCUCGGUGUAGAGUGGUGAAACUCAGGCUCUUACAAGU